RNAcentral lists this ribosomal RNA (497 nucleotides) under uncultured bacterium. Its description in RNAcentral is "partial 16S ribosomal RNA". It matches the Rfam family "Bacterial small subunit ribosomal RNA", at positions 28 to 507 of the family's 1533-position model. The record is from RNAcentral.
GACGAACGCUGGCGGCGUGCCUAAUACAUGCAAGUAGAACGCUGAAGAGAGGAGCUUCCUCUUCUUGGAUGAGUUGCGCACGGGUGAGUAACGCGUAGGUAACCUGCCUUGUAGCGGGGGAUAACUAUUGGAAACGAUAGCUAAUACCGCAUAACAAUGGAUGACACAUGUCAUUUAUUUGAAAGGGGCAAUUGCUCCACUACAAGAUGGACCUGCGUUGAAUUAGCUAGUAGGUGAGGUAAUGGCUCACCUAGGCGACGAUACAUAGCCGACCUGAGAGGGUGAUCGGCCACACUGGGACUGAGACACGGCCCAGACUCCUACGGGAGGCAGCAGUAGGGAAUCUUCGGCAAUGGGGGCAACCCUGACCGAGCAACGCCGCGUGAGUGAAGAAGGGUUUCGGAUCGUAAAGCUCUGUUGUAAGUCAAGAACGGGUGUGAGAGUGGAAAGUUCACACUGUGACGGUAGCUUACCAGAAAGGGACGGCUAACUACGUG